AACGAACGCUGGCGGCAUGCCUAACACAUGCAAGUCGAACGAGACCUUCGGGUCUAGUGGCGCACGGGUGCGUAACGCGUGGGAAUCUGCCCUUGGGUUCGGAAUAACAGCGAGAAAUUGCUGCUAAUACCGGAUGAUGACGUAAGUCCAAAGAUUUAUCGCCCAAGGAUGAGCCCGCGUAGGAUUAGCUAGUUGGUGAGGUAAAGGCUCACCAAGGCGACGAUCCUUAGCUGGUCUGAGAGGAUGAUCAGCCACACUGGGACUGAGACACGGCCCAGACUCCUACGGGAGGCAGCAGUGGGGAAUAUUGGACAAUGGGCGAAAGCCUGAUCCAGCAAUGCCGCGUGAGUGAUGAAGGCCUUAGGGUUGUAAAGCUCUUUUACCCGGGAUGAUAAUGACAGUACCGGGAGAAUAAGCUCCGGCCAACUCCGUGCCAGCAGCCGCGGUAAU
RNAcentral lists this ribosomal RNA (450 nucleotides) under uncultured bacterium. RNAcentral's name for it is "bacterial SSU rRNA". It matches the Rfam family "Bacterial small subunit ribosomal RNA", at positions 29 to 524 of the family's 1533-position model. The record is from RNAcentral.